This 748-nucleotide small RNA is filed under the name Oryza sativa Japonica Group (Japanese rice). RNAcentral describes it as "sRNA Os01g0593650". The record is from RNAcentral. Lineage: Eukaryota; Viridiplantae; Streptophyta; Magnoliopsida; Poales; Poaceae.
AGAAGACUUGAAUAGUUGAUACAUGCUUUAAAAAUUGAGUUGGCAUUCUAUGCUUGGUCUCAGAACCCUUGAUUUGUUCUGUCAGUCUCUACCUGGUGGCUUUACUGGGAGAUCAUGCAUCAAUUUGCAGGUUUGAAGAGUAUUGGUCGUAAACCAUAGAGGAAAGCAUGUAUCACGAGUCUUUGUAUUCCUAAAGAAACAUAUUAACAAGCAUCUCUUGGGGGGUAACAACAUUUGAAGGCCAUCUAUACUCCUUUAGUCUGAGAUAAUUGCUUACUUGCACGAAGCCGUGAUAUUGGAAUUUCUUUUAAUUCCCGCCUUAUACAUAGGUAUUCACCAAGAAGAGACAUAAUCGCCAAACCAGCAAUAUUAACAACCCACCAUGUAACUGAAGCUGGCCAUCCACCAUAAACAAUGCAAAUAAACAGAUGAAUGAUGUAGAGGGUGGCUGCAAAGUCCAGGCACUUCUUAGCUCUCUCAAUCACAUAAAGCAUGAAAGCAGCACUGCAAAAGCGAAAGCAUGAAAAGGCGGCGAUGACGCACCAUCCGGUGGUGGUGCGCGGGGUGAGCGUGGCGAAGUCGAAGAGGUAGAGGAGGGUGAGGCGCGGGACGCGGGUGCCGACGAGGAGCGCCAUGAGGAGGCCCAGGGCGAGGUAGUAGAGGCACUGCAGGCACACGAUCUGCGACACGAUCAGCCACGGAUCCCACACCAUCGCCCCAUAGAACAUCUUCUCCUCCUUCCUUCUCC